AGUGGGGAAUCUUAGACAAUGGGGGCAACCCUGAUCUAGCCAUGCCGCGUGAGUGACGAAGGUCUUAGGAUCGUAAAGCUCUUUCGCCUGUGAAGAUAAUGACGGUAGCAGGUAAAGAAACCCCGGCUAACUCCGUGCCAGCAGCCGCGGUAAUACGGAGGGGGUUAGCGUUGUUCGGAAUUACUGGGCGUAAAGCGCACGUAGGCGGAUUGGAAAGUUGGGGGUGAAAUCCCGGGGCUCAACCCCGGAACUGCCUCCAAAACUUCCAGUCUGGAGUUCGAGAGAGGUGAGUGGAAUUCCGAGUGUAGAGGUGAAAUUCGUAGAUAUUCGGAGGAACACCAGUGGCGAAGGCGGCUCACUGGCUCGAUACUGACGCUGAGGUGCGAAAGUGUGGGGAGCAAACAGGAUUAGAUACCCUGGUAGUCCACACCGUAAACGAUGAAUGCCAGUCGUCGGGUAGCAUGCUAUUCGGUGACACACCUAACGGAUUAAGCAUUCCGCCUGGGGAGUACGGCCGCAAGGUUA
RNAcentral lists this ribosomal RNA (525 nucleotides) under uncultured bacterium. Its description in RNAcentral is "bacterial SSU rRNA". It matches the Rfam family "Bacterial small subunit ribosomal RNA", at positions 353 to 896 of the family's 1533-position model. The record is from RNAcentral.